UACCGACGGCCCGAGUGGUAGCCACUCUUAUUGGGCCUAAAGCGUCCGUAGCCGGUCCAGUAAGUCCCUGUUUAAAUCCUGCGGCUUAACCGCAGGACUGGCAGGGAUACUGCUGGACUUGGGACCGGGAGAGGACAAGGGUACUCCAGGGGUAGCGGUGAAAUGUGUUGAUCCUUGGAGGACCACCUAUGGCGAAGGCGUCUCACUAGAACGGGUCCGACGGUCAGGGACGAAAGCUGGGGGCACGAACCGG
RNAcentral lists this ribosomal RNA (253 nucleotides) under uncultured microorganism. Its description in RNAcentral is "partial 16S ribosomal RNA". It matches the Rfam family "Archaeal small subunit ribosomal RNA", at positions 474 to 727 of the family's 1478-position model. The record is from RNAcentral.